RNAcentral lists this ribosomal RNA (253 nucleotides) under uncultured bacterium. RNAcentral's name for it is "partial 16S ribosomal RNA". It matches the Rfam family "Bacterial small subunit ribosomal RNA", at positions 524 to 776 of the family's 1533-position model. The record is from RNAcentral.
UACGUAGGGUGCAAGCGUUAAUCGGAAUUACUGGGCGUAAAGCGUGCGCAGGCGGUGAUGUAAGACAGAUGCGAAAUCCCCGGGCUCAACCUGGGAACUGCAUUUGUGACUGCAUUGCUGGAGUGCGGCAGAGGGGGAUGGAAUUCCGCGUGUAGCAGUGAAAUGCGUAGAUAUGCGGAGGAACACCGAUGGCGAAGGCAAUCCCCUGGGCCUGCACUGACGCUCAUGCACGAAAGCGUGGGGAGCAAACAGG